GCCUGGCUGGCUCAGUCAGUAGAGCAUGCAACUCCUGAUCUCAAAGUUGUGAGUUCAAGCCCCACACUGGGUG
Molecule: transfer RNA, 73 nt
Filed under: Canis lupus familiaris (dog)
Lineage: Eukaryota; Metazoa; Chordata; Mammalia; Carnivora; Canidae
Also listed under: 1 other name
Rfam family: tRNA
About the family: Transfer RNA (tRNA) molecules are approximately 80 nucleotides in length. Their secondary structure includes four short double-helical elements and three loops (D, anti-codon, and T loops). Further hydrogen bonds mediate the characteristic L-shaped molecular structure. tRNAs have two regions of fundamental functional importance: the anti-codon, which is responsible for specific mRNA codon recognition, and the 3' end, to which the tRNAs corresponding amino acid is attached (by aminoacyl-tRNA synthetases). tRNAs cope with the degeneracy of the genetic code in two manners: having more than one tRNA (with a specific anti-codon) for a particular amino acid; and 'wobble' base-pairing, i.e. permitting non-standard base-pairing at the 3rd anti-codon position.
Source: Rfam by way of RNAcentral